GAACAUGAUAUUUUCAAGCCAAGAAAAUAACGAACAAUGCCAAGAUCAUGAAGCUUAAAGGAGCAUUGCAGAGCCGCUUUAAGUAUAUCCAUGGCUUUGUCGCAGCUACUAGCAAUAAAUAUGUCUCCAACAUAAACCAACACUGCCAUAUAUGCAUUAGCAGACUUCUUAGUGAACAGAAUAUGAUCACCAGACAAAGUUUUGAAGCCCAACUUCUUAGAUAACAAAAAACUUUAAAAAAUUAGAAAACUCUGAAACUCUCUCGCAAAACACCUCUGCUUAAGCAAAUCUGAUUUCUCUCUGGCGUCCGGCGGCGCGUCCGCGCGCGUGCCGCGCCGGAGGAGCCUCUUCCCCCUUAUCUUGUUUUCCUUUGCUGUUUCUCAGCCUCUCUCUUCCCCUUUCGAUAUGCUCGUGGCUCUGGGUUGGCGUGUCUCUCCGGUGAGCGCUUCGUGCGCAAGGAGCGUUCCUUUCCGGCAAGAACACUUUUCUUCUGGUGCUGUGGCGAGGAGGUCGCAAGGUCUGGCUGAGGAGUGGUCGGUUUUUAGGGUUUAUGGCGAGGUCAAUUUUUCUGGAUCUGGUUUCUAGAUCUCGCCGGAUCUCUUCGUCGUUGGGGGAUCUUGAAGGACUGCUCCAUCUACUAGACGGCGGCGGUGUCGUACGCUAAACUAUGGUGUCUUUCGGUAGCGACGGUUGGUCAAUUGGUUCUCUCCGGUGUCGGUGAGGUUCAACCCUCCCAUUUGUUAUCAAGUGAGUUUCGGUGGUGUUGUCACCGGAAGCGCGUCUGGAGUCUCGAUACGCAGACGGAGAUGGAACGCCGGUGACGAUUACAAGGCUCGAGGAGUUCAUCGGGAACUAGCUACUCCGGAAAUGACACGGGAGUUCCCGGCAACCGAGGCAACGAGGUGAACCUCACGGUCCCGUGGUUAUCGUCGAUGGUUGAGAACGGCAACCGAUUCUUUAGGAUUUUAAAAACGAUCUAGCCGAAUGUUCCGGGUCAAAAUCUGAUUUCUCUCUGGCGUCCGGCGGCGCGUCCGCGCGCGUGCCGCGCCGGAGGAGCCUCUUCCCCCUUAUCUUGUUUUCCUUUGCUGUUUCUCAGCCUCUCUCUUCCCCUUUCGAUAUGCUCGUGGCUCUGGGUUGGCGUGUCUCUCCGGUGAGCGCUUCGUGCGCAAGGAGCGUUCCUUUCCGGCAAGAACACUUUUCUUCUGGUGCUGUGGCGAGGAGGUCGCAAGGUCUGGCUGAGGAGUGGUCGGUUUUUAGGGUUUAUGGCGAGGUCAAUUUUUCUGGAUCUGGUUUCUAGAUCUCGCCGGAUCUCUUCGUCGUUGGGGGAUCUUGAAGGACUGCUCCAUCUACUAGACGGCGGCGGUGUCGUACGCUAAACUAUGGUGUCUUUCGGUAGCGACGGUUGGUCAAUUGGUUCUCUCCGGUGUCGGUGAGGUUCAACCCUCCCAUUUGUUAUCAAGUGAGUUUCGGUGGUGUUGUCACCGGAAGCGCGUCUGGAGUCUCGAUACGCAGACGGAGAUGGUAUCAGGCUCUGUUCCGGCGCGUGUGGUAGUUGCU
This 1557-nucleotide long non-coding RNA is filed under the name Brassica napus (rape). Its description in RNAcentral is "long non-coding RNA (BNAP_LNC024977)". Lineage: Eukaryota; Viridiplantae; Streptophyta; Magnoliopsida; Brassicales; Brassicaceae. The record is from RNAcentral.